UACGAGGGGGGCAAGCGUUGUUCGGAUUUAUUGGGCGUAAAGGGUGCGUAGGCGGCUUGGCAAGUCUUGUGUGAAAUCUUUGGGCUCAACCCAAAGCCUGCACGAGAAACUGCCGGGCUUGAGUAUGGGAGAGGUGAGUGGAAUUUCCGGUGUAGCGGUGAAAUGCGUAGAUAUCGGAAGGAACACCUGUGGCGAAAGCGGCUCACUGGACCAUAACUGACGCUGAGGCACGAAAGCUAGGGGAGCAAACAGG
This 253-nucleotide ribosomal RNA is filed under the name uncultured bacterium. Its description in RNAcentral is "partial 16S ribosomal RNA". It matches the Rfam family "Bacterial small subunit ribosomal RNA", at positions 524 to 776 of the family's 1533-position model. The record is from RNAcentral.